GAUGAACGCUGGCGGCGUGCCUAAUACAUGCAAGUCGAGCGAACAGACGAGGAGCUUGCUCCUCUGACGUUAGCGGCGGACGGGUGAGUAACACGUGGAUAACCUACCUAUAAGACUGGGAUAACUUCGGGAAACCGGAGCUAAUACCGGAUAAUAUAUUGAACCGCAUGGUUCAAUAGUGAAAGACGGUUUUGCUGUCACUUAUAGAUGGAUCCGCGCCGCAUUAGCUAGUUGGUAAGGUAACGGCUUACCAAGGCAACGAUGCGUAGCCGACCUGAGAGGGUGAUCGGCCACACUGGAACUGAGACACGGUCCAGACUCCUAGGGGAAGCAGCAGUAGGGAAUCUUCCGCGAUGGGCGAAAGCCUGACGGAGCAACGCCGCGUGAGUGAUGAAGGUCUUCGGAUCGUAAAACUCUGUUAUUAGGGAAGAACAAAUGUGUAAGUAACUAUGCACGUCUUGACGGUACCUAAUCAGAAAGCCACGGCUAACUACGUG
Molecule: ribosomal RNA, 497 nt
Filed under: uncultured bacterium
Lineage: Bacteria
Description: partial 16S ribosomal RNA
Rfam family: Bacterial small subunit ribosomal RNA
Source: RNAcentral